Molecule: ribosomal RNA, 253 nt
Filed under: uncultured bacterium
Lineage: Bacteria
Description: partial 16S ribosomal RNA
Rfam family: Bacterial small subunit ribosomal RNA
Source: RNAcentral
UACAGAGGUCUCGAGCGUUAGGCGGAAUCACUGGGCUUAAAGCGUGUGUAGGCGGAUUGGUAAGUCCCUUGUGAAAUCCCACGGCUCAACCGUGGAACUGCUCGGUAUACUGCCUGUCUUGUGCAACCUAGGGGCGAGCGGAACAGAUGGUGGAGCGGUGAAAUGCGUAGAUAUGCGGAGGAACACCGAUGGCGAAGGCAAUCCCCUGGACCUGUACUGACGCUCAUGCACGAAAGCGUGGGGAGCAAACAGG